Molecule: long non-coding RNA, 10365 nt
Filed under: Gallus gallus (chicken)
Lineage: Eukaryota; Metazoa; Chordata; Aves; Galliformes; Phasianidae
Description: lncRNA (ENSGALG00010011387.1)
Source: RNAcentral
AGAUCCCUUCCUUCGAUAAAGUCAAUGACAGACCUCACUCGCAGGACAGCGUGUGUUGGCAGUGCCGUGCUGUCAGCUGUAAGCUGUGUUGGCAGUGCCGCGCUGUCAGCUGUAAGCGCUGUGUACUCACCGGGGCUUCAGCAGACGUGCAUUCUGAUUGCCUCCGGUGCACCUGCUUUCGUGAUCAAGGAUCAUUUAAUCCCGUAACUUCCCUUGUCCUGAUGGAAGAAGAGGGGAAGGUGAAUUACUCCUCAGAGUAAGAGCAUCUUUUUCAGUGCAUGCAACAGUUGUGCUGAGGCUCUCUGUAUCAUACAGCCACGGGCUGCUGAGAUUUAUCCCCUCAGAGCUGGGGACAGCGGGGUGGGAGUUCUGAAUUACCUCGCAUUGAGCCGAUUGAAAUCAGCAGUGCUUUAUAUAGAUUUUAAUAUCAGAGAGAGAAUAAUAGAACAGGAUUAAAAAUGAAUUUUUUUCCUAAGUAUAUAAACGUUUUCCAAGCCCUCUUGUUUUUAAUUUUUCUUCUGUUGCAUAUCACUUCUACCUUUCUGUUGAAAGCUCCUUUAACAAAACUGGGUUUUUGUUACAGCUGUUGGUAAUUAUGCAGGCAACACACGUACACAGGGGAAACUGCAUGGGCCUCACACGCUGUAAAAGUCAAGAUCUUCCAUAAAUGCAACUACGUUCCUUUGUAGAAGAAUAACUAACUUGAGGAAAAUACAUUAAAAUGUCAAAAACCAGUUAAAGAGAUAUUUAGCAAUUCUUAGCAAGAGCUGUGCAAAGUCAAAUCCUGCCCAGCUCCGCCUCUCAAGCACCUUCUGGCACAACAGUCUUGCACCCACUGGGUAGGUAGCUGAUAAUAGUGAUGCAAUUUUCACAUCACCUCAGCUGGGCCUCACGGAGAAAGUCUGCCCGAUGGUGUGGAUACAGAAGUUUCUAACAAGCCUGUAGAUGAAAUCAUAAAAUAAAGUCUCUACCAGUUAAAAGCUGCAUGAACGCUAUUUGAAUGGUCUAACAGUACUAUUUGUUUGUACAGCAUAAACAUCAUCUGCAUAUAGCAGCUCAGCGAGCCCAAAGCUGGGUCUGGCAGUGCCAUCUACCCAGGUGACGGUGCACCUUUCUGUCCCCAGGGCCUCCUGGUCUGCAGGACACACACCUCACUGCGAGGCCCAGACGUUGCUCACACACUUGUUGCACGGCCAUGUGAGGAUCUGCUUAGGUGUCAGUGCACCUGCUUUGCAACAGGCACCUCUGAAGCAGAGAGGAUUGGCUGCCCUGUGCACCUGACUGUGAGUGCCACAGCUGCCAACACCUAUGGCUGCCCCUUGAAAGGGUGGCCAGGCAAGGGAGAUGGGCUGUGUGUGUCCCCAGAAGUCACCUCUUCUGCUUCUAAAGGAAAGAUGGAGGAGAGAAUACUCUUUCCACACAGCUAGAAAGCCUCAGAGAGCUAAUCCAUCAUAAUUUUGGCUUCUUAGCUCUCGGCUGAAAAUGAGAGGAAACUGUAUAGCUGUGAAGAGCUGGGCCAAUGAUAAUAGUUAUGUUUGUUUUCCUAGAGAAAAGCUCAUAGAUGAAAGAGCCAUGGUUCCAUCCCCCAGAGAAGCAGGAACAGGUAUUUGAUAGCCAAAACUAUUGAGGAUGAAAUGCAUUCCAGCCUCUUGGUGAGCCCAGCCGCCACCUUCCUCCUCUCUGUAUCUUCCAAAGUGGCUGUAAUUCUAAGGUCAUAUAGCACUAAGCAGGCAGAGAAAAGCACAAGAGACAACCAGAAGUUGCAUAAUUCCCAAACUGAUGGGAAGGAAAUGUUUUUGAGAAUCCCACUAAAAUGAAUGCCAAAAUUGUUCUUAAGCCUUACUUAAGCUUUUAUUUAGGGUAUUGGAUAGAUGGCUGCUGUCAGUAGGAAACACUGACCAGUAUUGAGGCUACCUAAACAGAGUCCCGAGUGCUUGUGUGUAUUUUAGGCACAUAGCAGCUCUCUGGUCAAGAAUUCUUUCCUUGAACUGAAAAGUCAUGUCCUUUGGUGCAGUCUCAUAGCCAAAACUGCCAUUGUAACAGAGGUCCAAGCAUCUCCUUCCCUAGGUGUAGGUGGUUUCAACUCCUGAAGUGGUUAUAAGAAGCAAUGCCCCGUAGAACACGAAGCUUAGGAGGAUGAGUAAUAUCUGAAGUGUGGAGGCAGUGAGAGAUGACCCGCAUAUUAUGUGCUUUUUAUUUAAUAGUUUAUAAAUAAAUAUCAGCUUUCCCCAAACUGUCCCUCAGCCCAGCAAUUAUAUGUUGGCUGAUUUCUUGUUAGUGCUGUUCUUUUCUAAUAACAAACUGUUCCCAAAGCCUCACAUACAGAGUUAGACAAUCAAAGCACUGUGUGUGACUUUCCAGUUAAUUCAUUCAGCUAGCUGCAAUUAAAACAAUACAAUUCAAAGCCUUGUGUGUUUCCCUGCAAAAAUACGAACCUUUGGUCGUUACUAUUAAUAUAUACAACCUACAAGAAAGAGUUAACAGAGCCCCUUUGUCUUCCCUGCUGUAGUAAUUUUUUUAUGCUUUUCUGUAGAUGUCCCAGCAGUCAUUAAUAUUUCUUUCAGUCACUGUUCUUCAAAAGACACAUGCUUUUCAUUCAAUUGCACAGAAAGAAAAGGAAUUCGGUGGGCCAGAUUCCCUCUGUGGCCAGAUCCGUUCACUACAGCUGCCUGGGGAGGAAUUUAGGUGAAGGGUUAUCGUCAAGAGGAAAAUCGAACUUAGAAGGGAGGAGGUCACCAUUUUUGCAGAGGUGCAGAAGGGAACAGAAGCUAUAUCCUGCCCCAUGCUACAACGUUCGGGUAUUCUAAUCGAGCAUCUGUGGCUGUCUCCCACACUAUCAAGCUCCUUAGAUACUGGACAUAUUUCCAUCAACCAAGAGACUGAGCAUAUCGUGCUCAAAAAGAGUACUCAACGGCAUGAAAAAGGGGAUUAAAAAGCAAAGAACCAAAACCAGCAUCUCUUUUCCAGAAGGGUGAAAAUAUGCCAAGCCCAGUUCUAACUACAGAAAUACUUUCCAGUAUUUUCUUUCUUUCCAGUUACUGCAGUUCUACAAAGAUGUUAUUUGGUGACAGAUGAAAAGGAAGGCAAUUUGGUGAACAAGAUACCUAUUCCAAAGAUCUCCUGAUUAAAAGAAAGGCUAAUAUCUUACUCCUCACACUCCUGACAUGACCGUAGGCUUGAAGAGUCUUGCAAUCUGUAUAUAAUUUGAAUGAAGGAAGUCCAGUUGAAAGACUACAUCUCUAAUUGUUAAUGAACGUUUCCAGCAACAGUUUCACAGCAACAAUAACAAAAAAAAAUUCUCUGCUUGGAAGAGGUUUUCUUCCAAAUGUGUUCUCUUAGCUUAAGUUGCUAUAACAGAGAUAGCACUAGGCAGAUAGCAACUGUAUGUGUUCUAUAAUAAGUAUACUUUUCAUAAGGCAUUUCAAGGCAAACAGAUUACUAACACAUUUUAAAAGUUAAACUAUGUAUAUCAAGGACCACACUAUUGCAGCAAGCUAUAUACAGUAAGGCACUGUCCAUGAAAUCAAAGAAAUAUUUCAUAUCACAUUAAUACACUGACAUUAUUGCCUGACCUAUAAAUACUGAUAAUAUUUUCAUUAUCAUCUAUGUUUAACCUUCUUUAUCCUUUCAAAUGCCCUUAUGCCCAAUACGUGAAAACAUGUGAUAGAGUUCCACAUAGUAAGUCCAGAAAUCACAUCAAGGAAGUUCUUUAUUGGUUUCUUUCAAUGACUUUCAGAUUAAAUCUGCUCAUUUUAUAAAUGCAGUAAAGGUUUUUGUUAAGUGUCUAGUCUAAAAACACAUGGUUGAAGUUAGUAGGUUUUUUCAAUCCAGCAACAAAGGACCCUGCAACUAGAACAAAGUUAAUAACUGCUGAUGACAUACAUGCUAGAAGAAAAAAAACAAAACAAAACAAAAAAAAACCCAGUGCCUCACUCCUUAGUAUCAGAAGAAGAAAAUCAUACUUUAGAACUGAAAGAAAAUUAUGGCGUACACAAAAAGAACAGGUUUGUAUAGAAAACUAUCAACCUUUCACCUACUCACCUUUCAGGCAUUUGCUUCAUCAAACUCCCAAGUAUCAGUGCAAGAAUGAGUAUAAUUACCAGAAUGCCAAGGUAAGAAACAGGCAGACUUUGUAAAUCUGUUCACAGUAGUGUUCCAGAUUGGUGCUAAAAUAAGAGUUAUGAGCUACGUUCAUUUUAAGUAAAUGUAAGAAUAUCUAUACUCAGCUCAGACCUUCUUUAGUCAUCAUCUAUUUGGGAAGAAUGGAAGGAAUUACUGCUUCCCUAGAAGAGAAUUCAUUUUUCUCAGUUACAGAAUGUGAAAGUGAACAAACUCUGGCCUUUCUCCAGUUCAAGUCAAGGAGAGUUGCAUGAGCUGUUCAGCCUCAUGACCACACUUACCUACACUGUAGGCUCCCAGAUUAAGAGCAGUUGACUGAGCCUUCAGAGCAAGAAUGGUUUCAAAAUAAAAUGCUCUACCCAACAGACGUCAGUGGCACUAACUUACCAUCUCACCUUGUAACAGAAGCAUACUUGCUUAAAGUUUGCUAGAAGAUGUGAUUUGUACCAGUCACAUCAGGAGAGUAACAGAAACUUGUAGUGACCUUUCAGUCUCAUGCAGCUUGAAUCAUUUAUUAUGAGUGGAUAAGCGUUCUCCUGGCCUUCUAGAUCAGGGAAAGGAAGAAAGGCAAAAGAAACCUUGGAGUCCUCCAGAAUAUCAGCACAGAAUCAUAGAAUGGUUGGGGUUGGGUUGGAAGAGACCGAAAAGAUCAUCUAGUUCCAACCCCCUGCCACAGGCCUCCCACUAGACCAGGUUGCCCAAAUCCCCAUCCAACCUGGCUUUGAACAUUUCCAGGGAUGGGGUAUCCCUAAUUUCUCUGGGCAACCUGUUUCAGUACCUCACCACCAACACAAUAAAGAAUUUCUUCCUUACAUCUAAUCUAAAUAUACCCGCUUUUAGUUUAAAAUCUUUAUCUCUCAUCCUAUCACUGCAUGCCCUUGUAGAAAGUCUAUCUCUAUCUUUCUUAUAAGCCUUCUUUAAGAAAAGAUGCAGUAAGGUUUCCCUGGAGCCUUCUCUUCUCCAGGCUGAACAACCCCACCUCUCUCAGGCUUUCUUCAUAGGAGAGGCUUUCCAACCCCCUGAUCAUUUUUGUGGCCCUCCUCUGGACUCCCUCUAGCAGGCCCUUGUGUUUCUUGUGAUGGGGGUCUGAGAGCUGGAUGUGGUGGUACUGCAGGUGGGUUCUCAUGAGGAAUAGAGAAAGAGAAAGCAUCUCCAUCUAGGCUCCCAUUCAAGUAUUUCUGCCCUUGGUUAUUGACACUAAACAAGCUCAUGGACGCGCAGAAUAGUAACACGUUAUCAGCAGCUAAUAAAAUUAAACUAGGCUAGACGGUAUUGCUAUACUGAACAAAAUAGAUUCCUCCCUCAAACAGCAAAGACACUAGCACACAAAAUAGCGGUGACACAGACCUUCAGCUAGGAACACAGAUUGGCAGGCCUUGGCAGGAGUGUGUAAAUUCUGUGGUUUGGUCCUAGAGGCUGUGGCUUCAGCCCCAGCUCCCAAUUCCCUACCACAAACCACCAGAGACUGUUCAGAGUAAAUACAAGGCCAGCUUCUAUUCAGCAAGGUCCUGUCAUAUUCAAAUAUUAUCAUGCUAAGGGGCUUCUAGCUUAAAUAUCCUUCCAUAGGCAUGGCAACUGAACACAAGCAAUAGGUAGGAAUGAACUGGCUGGAGCAUGAGCUGGCUGAGACCCAUUCAGCUUGACAGCCAGGGAAAAUGUCUCAGCUGCCUCUCAUCUUCGCAUGAAGCCUGUCUUAUUGGACAGCUAUUUGCGAACACAGCUCAGCUGCUUUCUCUGAAUCAGACAGAGAGGUGUGCAGAUGAUGAUAUUGCCCGGAUUCCAGGAGCACCCUGGGGACCGACACCACGCUCCGUUGGUACUUCCCAUGAACUUAGCUGAAGGUCUGCAUACCAGGAAGGACUGUCUGCUUGCAGUGGUACUAGCAGAGUGGCAGGUGCUUUUGAACCACGCCAUGCUCUGUGGUGGGAUUUCCAACGUCCAAACGUCAUUAACUCAGCCUCUUCUUUCUGAACACUGGGAAUAAGGCAAACCCGCAUGGGCACGAGCGGUCAAAGCUGCCCAGCAUGUUGACACCGGAGCUAGGCUGAUGAAAGUCACACGUGGGGCAGCCCCUGCUUUGCAUUUUGGUGCAGAUGUACACAGAGAAAGGAGCGGAGGCAGAGCUGAGACGGUGGGAAACUUGGCGAGAAGGAGGGCGUCUGUUACUUGAAAUCACUCUACAGCACAUUACAAAUCUGUUAAAUCACUGCGGGUUACCCUGUAUUUCAGAGUAAAUUGGUAACUUUUCAGAGGGAGUGAAGAAACUACCACUCCACUUUUAAAUAAUGAAAAUGCUAAAAAACCUACACUUAACAGCUCUAAAACUGCAGCAAGUCACCCACCAACACCCACUCCUCUUGUCAGCAGGCUUUUUUCAGCUUUGCCUAUUAUUUGCGUGAAGCCAGAGAUGUUUAAUGUUUGCUGCCCUUAUCUGCUCAACUUUAAGGAGCCUCAAACGUUACAAUAUGUACCUGGGCCGCUGACCUGUUUCCCCACAGCACUUUGAUCUAAAUAAGUAACAAACACAGAGUUUCCAAAUCAUUUGGAUUCACUGGCUCUGAGCGCAUAGCUGUAAAAAAUCUGCUUUAAGAUUAACAUCCAAUUUUAUUCAUGCCUGAGGCUUCACCACAGCAUCUAUUUUUGUAAGAUUAACAGCAAGAUCCCAGUUCUCCAGAAAUGUAAAGAGUAACAGCCAGUUGUAAAAGAAAUCUGAUAUUUCCUAAUUUGUCCUGCUCGCAUCCAGGAAGGCAUAUUUUCCCAGACCUUCCAAUGAUGGUUGUAAUUUCUACUUGCAUUUUUGCACCCACGACACGCAGCGUGUGUAUUAAUCCUUCUGCCUCCCAUUUGCUGAAAUGCAUUUCUGAUGAAACUGUGAGUGCCAAAAAACCACUAGCGCAAAUCUCACAUGUGCAAAGUAUCCCCUGAAAGACAGCUUUUACUCUGGAGGAGUUAAGAAACAGUCAUCUUCCUGUACCUUGCACAGAAGCAUUUUGGAUCAUCUAACUUGAAAAUGCAAGUACAUAAAAGGAGCACUUAAUAUUCCAGCUAAUCCAUUUUAAAUUAAUAUACUUGCAAACAUUUCUUUUUAACAUGGGAAUCUGAGGACAAAUUGGGGGCCAUUUUUAACUUUAACAGCAGAAGAAAAGUUGCUUUAAAUAGUGCCUUUGGUAUCUGUCAAUUAGAGCUAUUGCACUGCUGUCAACUUGCGCUCCUUUAGUUCCAGCUUUGCUCCAUCCUACACAGAUCCGUACAAAUCAGUUGUCUCUUCCAAACAUGCACUAACCACUGGAAAGUGAAAUUAAUAAAGUGUGAGAAAAGCUGACUCAUAAAGCUGACACUCCUGUGCCCAACAACUCUGGGUUUCUCCCCUCCAGCUAGCUGUUUGAGAUAGACAGGCAAAGUGGUAAAAGAUUAUCAAAUUGCAACUGUCACUCCUGACAAAAUGCAUCUGAAUGCUGGAAGGAAUUUCAGGUUUUAAGCUAAAGCACCAUCCCAAAGAGUUCCUCAGAGCCUGUCAAUAUCUGUACCUUGGAUGGAAAGCUACCACUGAGCACAGUGCGUCCAACAUAUAGAACCUGCCACGAAAUGAAGUUCUUCGUAAGAAAGCUCAUCUCAGUCUUGGUUGGUAACAAUAACAAGGAGACAAGAUGAGACCAUCAGUCUCAAUUGUGAAGACAAUGUUUUCCUCCCAUAUUAUUCUAUCUGUCAUGUUCCCUUCAGGUUCCAAAGGAAUCCCUGUCUCAUACAUCAUUAUUUCCCACAAAGCUUGAAAGCCUUCAGGGGGGGUUUCUUCCUGCCCACUGUACCAGCCUUGAUGUCUGAGUACCUUCAGAACAGUGACAGAGGCUUCUACCAGCAAUAAAGGGGAACAUCUGCAUACCAAUUAAACUGCUGAGCUCUGAAGAGUUAAAAAAAAAAAAAGAGGAGAAAAAAGCCUUGAAAGUAAAUCUGAGCCAAGUUCUAAUUAAUGCCCUAGGCCCCGAUUCACCACAGCACUUAGGCAUGUAGUUAACUUUAAGCACGUAUUAAGUUCCAUUGAAGUCAAAAGACAGCAUCGAAGAGGCAAACUACAUUAGCACAAUUUAAUACUCUUUGGGCUAAUUAAUCAGCCAUAAAAAUUAACUGUGAGAGUGGUAUUCCUUAUUUUCCUUGCUGUGAUACUUACAGAUAAAAAUGCUUGGAUGUGGUUGGAAUAAGCAAAAAGCAAUACCUUGUUUAGCUGUCUUGGGCUGCUAAGUCCUACGGCUGUAAAGACCAGUCCCAGAGAGCAGCUAAAGGAGCUGAGCUCUCUGCACAUUACAGUCUCGCAGUCUAAUGUACAUACCAUCUACUUGGCAGAGGCACACAGGCACUAAAGACACAGCUCUUGUCUUGAGGAGCAGUAAUCUAAGAAAUGAAAAGAAUUGGCAACAGAUCAGCAAACCCAUCAGGCAACGGAUGGCACAUCAGAGACAGUUUUAUUUUUCUCUAUAAAGAAGUGUUUAUUCACUGCUGUGCAUCAAUGUUAUUUGUGAUGAGAGGUGGCAAGGAAGGGAAGCAAGCAGGGUUGGGUAAACCAGGGGAGCAGAGAGCACAUGCAAGUUUGGUGACUACUGGUGAGGUUACCAAGAGAGGCAGUGUCAGGCAGAGCUGUGGAGAGGGCAGCAGUGCUGAUAUCUAACAGGAAGGUAGACUGGAGUCUGGUCCAGACCUAAAUGUGAGCAAAGGCUUAACCCUCUUCAAUUUCAGCAGGUCGGAGCCCCGCAAAAAGGGAGCCCACAGCACCAUCUCCAAAGAGCUGAAUAGUUCCAGGUACAACCAACAAACCAACCGAUUUUUGAGCUCCUGCUGACUUCACAAAGGCAUGUGUACAACAAACCAUUCUGUAAACUGGGAUGCGAGGAGAAAAAGUAGUUGAUAAUCUUCUUGCUGGAAUUUCUGCAAAAACGAAAGCAAGGAAAGUUUCCUCAAGUAUCACCAAGGCUGCACAUGGACCUAUGAAAGCUAGGAAAGUGAGAGCAGGGGACAUCAACUCCUGACUGACAAUACUUCUUUAUCUCAUGCAUUAUGGAAACAAAAAGAAUAAAAACAAACCCCCAAAAUUAGAAUGCCACGAGCAUAAAACAAAGUACCAGCGUGACUUUGCAGAUUAAUUUUGAAUUUCCUUGCUUUCAUUGGUUUAAGAGCCCUAUUGUUACUCUCUUGUUUCUUUAAUUGCAGACACUAAAAAUUCUUUUAUCUUUCAAAGUCCUUAAAGUCUGUUAUAUAAAUACGUAAUUAAAGCCUCUUUCAACUGGGUAUAAUUUACUCUACAGUUUACAACAGCUGCACUAGAGCUAUUACAGUUUAUCAUUUAAAAGCCUAAUUAAGGGCUUCUUAAUUAGUGGAUCCUUCAGUCACUAGACUGUGACUAUGUAAAAGAUGCUUGGCAGCUAUCGCAUGUUACAAAUCUGCAUGAAAUGUUUGCCUGAAAACAGGGGAUGUGCAAGUCCAGAAACACAUUAACUGUCCCAGUAGGUCAGUGCAUCUCAAUGUGCAAACCUCCACAUUAAAGCUACAUUCUCAUCUCCAAGCGCACAGCUCAUUUGCAGACAUGCUUUUCCCUCGUGCACAUGUUGUGGAGAACCACUUCAGUGUCCAGUGCAGGGGUCAGGCUGGGAGACCGCCCAGAGCGGCUCAGUGCCUCCCACUGCACGUCGCACACCUUCCCACGAUUUGCUCUGCCACCCAGCUAUAACACCCAGGCCAAGCUGAAAGCUGAGUCUGUUCCCUGGGCUCCUCAUACAACCUCCUGAAUGCAGGACAGUCGAGCCUGGAAAGGACUACUCUCCAUCUGUUCCUGUGCCCUUUCCCACAGCAUCCCUAGAGCAGCUGCCAGCCUAGCUGGGCUGAGCUGCUAUGCCAGUCCUCUCAGAUGUGGUGAAUCUCAUGUUCAAACACACCCAAGAAGAUGGGGCUGUGCCCACUGGCUGCUCACGCUGGUUCUCACAUGGCUUGUCAAGCGCUUUCUUCAGUGAAUUCCAUUUCUUGCUGUUGCCAUGCUCUCCUCAGCAGCUGUGCCGCUGUGCCGCAUUCAGUGGGAAGCUCCUCCGCCGUGCCCAGAGUACUCACAUCGCUAGGAGGAGGAAGGAAGAUCCAUUUACUGCCUCUCACUUAUAACCACCAACACACAUUUCUCAUUAAUCACCACUAAAUUAGCAGUCCGUCACUGAGAUUUUAAGUGCAAUCUCUGCCCAGGGAUGGUACUGGAACUCCAUCAUCCUUCAC